This 640-nucleotide ribosomal RNA is filed under the name Bacillus sp. JC-2. RNAcentral's name for it is "bacterial SSU rRNA". It matches the Rfam family "Bacterial small subunit ribosomal RNA", at positions 30 to 630 of the family's 1533-position model. Lineage: Bacteria; Bacillati; Bacillota; Bacilli; Caryophanales; Bacillaceae. The record is from RNAcentral.
CGUACGCAGGCGGCGUCCUACUAUUGCAAGUCAAGCGGAAUGGGUUCCUAGUCUUGUCUCUUAUGUAAGUUACCAGGACGGUACUGGAGAUGAUUAACACUGUGUGUAACCUGCCCAUGGGCCGGCAUUACUCACGGGAAACCUGGGCCUCAUACCCGUAUCACCUUUUGCACCUCAGGGAUCUUAAUUGAUAGGCCUCUUCGGCUGUCCCUUGUGGAUGGACCCACUUCGCAAUGUCUAGGUGGUGAGGUAACACGCUCACCAAGGUGACCAUACAUAACCAUCCUGACAGGGUGAUCUGACACACUGGGACUGAGACACGGCCCAGACUCCUACGGGAGGCAUCAAUAGGGGAAUCUUCCCCAAUGGCCGAAAUUCUGACGGAGCAACGACGCGCGUGUGAUGAUGGCUUUCUGGUCGUAAAACUCUAUGGCAAGGAAAGAACAAGUGCUAGUUGAAUCAGCUGGCACCUUGUCGGUACCUAACCCUAAAGCCACGGCAUAACUACGUGCCACGCAGCGGUGCGUAAUACAUAGGUGGCAAGCUGUUAUCCGGAAUUAUUGGGCGUAAAAUCGCGCGCAGGUGGUUUCUUAACCUCUGAUGUGAAAGCCCACCGGCUCACCCGUGGAGGGUCAUUGGA